Non-coding RNA from Camellia sinensis, 596 nucleotides. Lineage: Eukaryota; Viridiplantae; Streptophyta; Magnoliopsida; Ericales; Theaceae. The record is from RefSeq and is a predicted model, not a curated record.
CCACCAUUUAAGACACUUGUUUAUAGCCUCCCAUCUUUGAAAUUUCUCUCUUUAUAUUAUUACAACUUUCUCAGAACUCAUAUCCAAAAGCUCUCUGACUUUCUCAGCAUCCAAACAUGGCCAAGGAAGGAGAAGCUACCAGCAAAACCAUCCCAUUUGAAGAAGGAUGGCCAGUGCUACAAGAUGCAAUCAACAAACUCAUUGACAGUUUGGAAGGAGUUUGUUCCCACACUUUCACUCCUGAAGAGUAUAUGACUCUUUACACGUACUACCAUCUUUAAGGGAAAAGAAAGAUGAGAAUUUGUUACAAGAACUAGCAAAAAGAUGGAAUAACACAAGGUUAUGACUCACUGGCUCUCAAGAUUUUUAAAAUUUUUUGAUAGAUACCUCACCGCAAUCAAAAGACUACCCAAACUGCUAGAGACUAGCUUCAUGACCUUCUAUGAACUGGUUGGUUUACGGGGAAAUGAAUGAUCAAGUGAGGGAUGUUGUAACAUCUAUGGUAUGUUUUGUUUCAUAAUAUUUUGAAAUGAAUGUAAUUGUAUCCUCAUUGUAGUUAACAAGGCUAAUUGUCAUCUUUUUCUUUUCUUUUUUUC